AUCUAGCUGAUGAGUCCAGAGUAGGACGAAACGCGCGUCCAGGAU
Molecule: non-coding RNA, 45 nt
Organism: Schistosoma mattheei
Lineage: Eukaryota; Metazoa; Platyhelminthes; Trematoda; Strigeidida; Schistosomatidae
Source: Rfam